RNAcentral lists this ribosomal RNA (255 nucleotides) under uncultured bacterium. RNAcentral describes it as "partial 16S ribosomal RNA". It matches the Rfam family "Bacterial small subunit ribosomal RNA", at positions 524 to 776 of the family's 1533-position model. The record is from RNAcentral.
UACGUAGGGUGCGAGCGUUGUCCGGAAUUACUGGGCGUAAAGAGUUCGUAGGCGGUUUGUCGCGUCGUUCGUGAAAAACUUGGGGCUUAACUCCAAGCGUGCGGGCGAUACGGGGCAGACUUGAGUACUACAGGGGAGACUGGAAUUCCUGGUGUAGCGGUGAAAUGCGCAGAUAUCAGGAGGAACACCGGUGGCGAAGGCGGGUCUCUGGGUAGUAACUGACGCUGAGGAACGAAAGCGUGGGUAGCGAACAGG